UACAUACGUCGGCAACACGUCGGCAGAACACGAGGAAGUGAGUUCCGGCGGUGCCGUAGGCGUGUAUAGGCCACCGCCGUUUGCGGCAAGUAGGGCCAGGUGCUCGCGGUCGGCGGAGGCCGGCCCGGGCGGCCGUCGCAGUACCAGGUGGCACCCGGCGCGGAAGCACGGCUCGGCCGGGGGUAGAGGCGGUGGUUGGAGAGGACAUAUUUCGGAGCGCCGGACGCGGACGGAGGAGGAGGGUGGUCAAGGUCCUGUUGGUCGCUGUCGGCGGUGAAGCAGGUCGAGGCCGGGGCCCUCCUAGCGAAGCGACGGUUUAGCGAGCAGCUGCCGCCCUACCCCCUCCGCAGGUGAGGCCGCUAGCGGUUCCUACAGUGGCUCGACUAGCCCUUGUGCGGCAACCACAUGGAGUUGUUCCACUGGCUGCCCACGCACCCCGCGCAGCGGCGGUUCGAGCUCAGGUACCUCGGGACGAGGUCGCAGUUCCUGUCCUAACCCAUGUCGUACUAGUGGCUGCGCCUCCUCUUCCCCAAGUAGCAGGGUCCGUUCUCACACGACUAACUUGGUUGGUCACCGUUGUGUCCGUAACCCGACCGGAAGUACCGACGACGGUUCCCAAUGUCUGAACAUGAGUGUUACGGGCGGAGGUACUCAUACCUCUCCUCUUAGUAGAACUUCCGGAAACCACGACUCGACUAGGAGUGGCUGGGUGAGAACCCUUACUUUCCUCGACAGGUUUUCCGCCUUCUCGAACGUCGUUUCUGCGGGUUGAGUAUGUAGGAAGUCGUCAAGCUCUUAGGACGGUUGGGUUUCUAAGUGAUGCUCUGUUGACCCGGACUUUAGACCUUUCCGUGUCCACCUUUCUAGCUACCGGAACAAAGACCGUAGCCCUGUCCACCAUGGUAAUGACCUUGACCUUUCAUGGAGUUUCUCGUUUUGAGAUUGUAGUUCGAGAUGCCACACCUCGGAUGGCUCUCACGACAGAAUUUACCACCUUUCGGACCUGGUGUGUUCUAGGUUCCUUAACCUCGACCAAAAUAGGGACCACAGAACCUACAACUGUAGUAACUACUUUGGUAUGUCCAAAGUUCACUACUCAGAUAACUCUACCGUUUCAGAGAACGUAACUUUCUUCCUAACGACCAACCCUAGAGAAGACCACGACGACGUCGACGACGUUAGUUCCAACGAGUCUCCGGACUUUUACGUCCCUUUGAGAAACAACAACACAAGGGCUCGAAGCCUCUCGCGAUGGAAAGCAGCCACGAGAAGGUGAGGUAGUUCUUCCUCCGGCUCUCGUACCACCAGCUCACUGCGAGCCCUGAGCAGAGGAGUUCGCGCGCUUCGACAAGAGGCUUCGGCUUAGGGAGGUAAGUAUCCUCGGGAGAAGAUGUUCUUUAUUUAGAAGCCGCAGGGACGAUCACAACCAGACUGUAGUUUCAGGACAGUUCAAAAUUAGGGUGGAACACACCGUUACCCCUUAUGAAAACACAACCGGAACACCACAAAUCGUUAAACUUAAUGGAGGACGGACGGGACAUAUAACUUGAGGAGGAGACACCAGGUAUACAGUCGGUCACACUUUAUUUCGUAGUACCACGGGAAUGUACAGACUUAGAAACAAAAAGCAAGAUUUUGCCCCGACUGUUAAUGGAUCAGC
This 1660-nucleotide ribosomal RNA is filed under the name Triticum aestivum (bread wheat). Its description in RNAcentral is "partial small subunit ribosomal RNA". The record is from RNAcentral. Lineage: Eukaryota; Viridiplantae; Streptophyta; Magnoliopsida; Poales; Poaceae.